This 433-nucleotide ribosomal RNA is filed under the name uncultured bacterium. RNAcentral describes it as "partial 16S ribosomal RNA". It matches the Rfam family "Bacterial small subunit ribosomal RNA", at positions 29 to 507 of the family's 1533-position model. The record is from RNAcentral.
AACGAACGCUGGCGGCAGGCCUAACACAUGCAAGUCGAGCGCGCCCUUCGGGGUGAGCGGCGGACGGGUGAGUAACGCGUGGGAACGUGCCCUUCUCUGCGGAAUAGCCUCGGGAAACUGAGAGUAAUACCGCAUACGCCCUUUGGGGGAAAGAUUUAUCGGAGAAGGAUCGGCCCGCGCUGGAUUAGGUAGUUGGUGGGGUAAUGGCCCACCAAGCCGACGAUCCAUAGCUGGUUUGAGAGGAUGAUCAGCCACACUGGGACUGAGACACGGCCCAGACUCCUACGGGAGGCAGCAGUGGGGAAUCUUAGACAAUGGGGGCAACCCUGAUCUAGCCAUGCCGCGUGAGUGAUGAAGGCCUUAGGGUUGUAAAGCUCUUUCAGCUGGGAAGAUAAUGACGGUACCAGCAGAAGAAGCCCCGGCUAACUCCGUG